GACGAACGCUGGCGGCGUGCUUAACACAUGCAAGUCAAGGAGAACGGAAAUCUUCGGAAUUCCUAGUAAACUGGCGAACGGGUGAGUAACACGUAGGUAAUCUGCCUUCAGGACAGGGAUAACCUUGCUAACGCGGGGCUAAUACCCGAUAACAUUCUUUUGUCGCAUGGCAUAAGAAUCAAAGCUGUCCCGACUUGUCGGGAUACCACCUGAAGAUGAACCUGCGUCCCAUUAGCUAGUUGGUAAGGUAACGGCUUACCAAGGCAACGAUGGGUAGCCGGCCUGAGAGGGUGUUCGGCCACACUGGGACUGAGAUACGGCCCAGACUCCUACGGGAGGCAGCAGUGAGGAAUAUUGCGCAAUGGGCGAAAGCCUGACGCAGCAACGCCGCGUGGAUGAUGAAGCUCUAAGGAGUGUAAAGUCCUGUU
Molecule: ribosomal RNA, 428 nt
Filed under: uncultured bacterium
Lineage: Bacteria
Description: partial 16S ribosomal RNA
Rfam family: Bacterial small subunit ribosomal RNA
Source: RNAcentral